GAUGAACGCUGGCGGCGUGCCUAAUACAUGCAAGUCGAGCGAACGGACGAGACUCUUGCUUCUCUGAUGUUAGCGGCGGACGGGUGAGUAACACGUGUAUAACCUACCUAUAAGACUGGGAUAACUUCGGGAAACCGGAUCUAACACCGGAUAAUAUUUUGAACCGCAUGGUUCUACAGUGAAAGACGGUCUUGCUGUCACUUAUAGAUGGUUCCGAGCUGCAUUAGGUAGUUGGUAAGGUAACGGCUUACCAAGGCUACGAUGCAUAGCCGACCUGAGAGGGUGAUCGGCCACACUGGAACUGAGACACGGUCCAGACUCCUACGGGAGGCAGCAGUAGGGAAUCUUCCGCAAUGGGCGAAAGCCUGACGGAGCAACGCCGCGUGAGUGAUGAAGGUCUUCGGAUCGUAAAGCUCUGUUAUUAGGGAAGAACAUAUGUGUAAGUAAAUGUGCACAUCUUGACGGUACCUAAUCAGAAAGCCACGGCUAACUACGUG
RNAcentral lists this ribosomal RNA (497 nucleotides) under uncultured bacterium. RNAcentral describes it as "partial 16S ribosomal RNA". It matches the Rfam family "Bacterial small subunit ribosomal RNA", at positions 28 to 507 of the family's 1533-position model. The record is from RNAcentral.